AAGACAUUAACCAGAGCAAUGGACACAAAUUGAGGUUAGCCCUCAACUUCAUCAACGCAAAAAUAGCAACAAGAUCGGAGCUUUACCAGUGAUCGCAGAUGAUAGCCUCGAGCAGCAACCGCAAGGUGCCGGCGAGCCGAACAACGGCGAUGGAGAUGUGUUCUGGUGAGGUCUUUUUUAUGAUGGCGCGAGGGGUGGUCUGUAGAGAAGGAGGCAGCGUUGAUGUCGACGUUAACGUUUGAGUUAGCUGGUGGUGGAGUCUUUUAUCAAUCUAAUACCUCAUUUUUUUUCUAAUUAAAUUAUAAAACAAAUAUGAUAUCUUAAUUUUCAAUUGGGUUUUUCCAACUGUUUUGAAUAUUUUGAAAAUAUAAAAGUAGUCAUACGAAUAUUAGCUAAUAUUAAUUUAAUAGUAAUUGAAUUUAAUAUUUUAUAAUAAACAUUCCAUAUGAAUUUUCAUUUUUGAUAUAAUGUAUUCACUGUUUAAUACAAUUAAUUUUACAUCCCCUUGUAACAACAAGAAAGGCUGAAUGAGAUUUAUAUUUCCUUGCAACGACAAGAGCUUCUGGAAAGACCCAACCCAUUUAGUAUCAAGAAAUUUGUAUCACAUAACAUCUAAUACAAUUUUACCUACUCAAGCUAGUUAAUUAGAUGUAGCCAAAAAAGCAUAACAAGCAAGAAUAACGACAUCAAUCAUAAAAAAUAAGAUCUUUAAUUCAUCUAAAUGCAGCUGUGCAAACACAUGUAUUAGAGCCGGUUUGUUUCUGUAUUUUAAAAGUAUUUUUAAAAAAAUUUAAAUUUUUUUAUUAAUUUUAAAUUAAUAUAUUUUUAGUGUUUUCAAAUUAUUUUAAUAUAUUGAUGUUAAAAAUAAUUUUUAAAAAAUAAAAAAACAUCAUUAAUAUAUAUUUUAAUAUGAAAAAUUAUUUAAAAAACAAUUAUAAUUACACUACUAAACAAUUUCUAAAUAUUUGUUUGCUUUUGGUGAGAGCCAAGUAGCUUCCAUCUUAAAAUUCCUCUCAGCAAUGACUACUUAAGCAAGAAUCUCAAGCUCAACAAAAACUUCUUUGUAUCUACAAAUAUUCUUAAAAAAUCAUCUUGUUUUAAGAUAAAGACAUCAAUGCCACAAAAGUUGAAAUACAGCGUGUACCUACUUUUUGUAGGUUACCCGGUUACAGACAAGACUAUUUAUCACCAAUAAAACCCAAUAUCAAAAUCAACACUCUUUCCCAUGUAAACAAUUGAAUUAACAAGCUGAUUUUGUAAUGCUCUCUUUAAAAAAUUAGAACAUUAUCAAUUAUACAACACCCUAAAUCAAUCCUUACAAAAAAAAUUAAUUUUGACACUAAGGGAUGUGUCCUGGUAGUCCUUUCCACUGCACAUGAUUCAAAUUUUAUUAUGUAUGCCUGUCAUCCUUAUAAUACCUUAUAUAUUUAUUGGAUUUACAAGAUAUUCAUAAAUCCCGAGAAUUAAUUAUGGUAUACUCCGGGUUGCCAAAAAAAAAAUUAAUUUUCUUUCCUCUAGAUAAGGUUGAAAUGAAACCCUUUAAGUCACUGGCUACAUCAAUUUCAAAAACCGAAGAAAGAAAAUCAAAAGAAGCAGCUAAAUCCAAGCAGUGAGCAAAAAUAUGAAGCAAACCCGUCUUAGAGGAGACAAAACUCAUCAAACAUACAAAACUCAAUCAGUAGAAGCAAGGUGAGAGAGAGGCUGACGAUAGAGUAGCUGCGAAGUGAGGGAGGGAGUGAUUGGUUUUUAUUUUGGAAUUUCGCUCUUCCCUUCCAGUUCCGGCUAGAUAGAGCUGAAGUGGUCGGGCACAUACAACUCCAUCAGUAGAAAUUGUUAUAGGACCGGCCCGGAUAAUGAUCCAGCCCAAACAUCAUGUCACGGGCUAAGCAAGUGGGUUAAACUGUGUUUAUUGUUUUUUUUUUUUUUCAAACAACAUGAUUUUAUAAAAAGAAAUUAUGUAAGAAGAAAAAAACCCAAAUGAUUUUGUUUUUUAUUUGAAUAAAAAAAUUAAAAACCCUUCAAACCUUAAUUUCACUAGAUCAUAUAAGUCACAAAUUAAUAGAUAAAAGGGGUGUUAGAGAGUGUGGUAGUAGUUGUUUUUUAAAGUGUUUUUCGCUUAUAAAUACAUCAAAAUAAUAUAUAUUUUUUAUUUUUUAAAAAAUUAUUUUGACACUAGCAUAUCUUAAAAUAUGUAUAAAAAAAAUAAUUUCAAAUGUAAUAAAACUAUAGUAUAAACCAAAGUCACCUAAGUUUGAUUGAUCAUUUCUAUAAAUAAUUUACUUUUGAGACCACAUAUAUAAACUAUAAAAUACACAAGACAAUGUCUUAUUUGUUGCUUGAACUUUUUUUUUUUAAAAGAAAAUAUUAUGUUUUUUUUAUGUUUUUUAAAUGUUUUUUAAUAGUUGUGAUAAUAUUAAAAAUAAAAAAGACAAUGUUUUAUUUUUUCUUUAAAUUUUUUUUUUUAAAAGAAAAUAUUAUGUUUUUUAAAUGUUUUUUAAAUGUUUUUUAAUAGUUGUGAUAAUAUUAAAAAUAAAUAAAUUUUAAUAUAAAAAAUAUCAUUUCAAAAAAUAUUAUACAUAUUAUUACCGAAUAAACAUGAGUUAAACUACAUUAGAAUGACACAAGCUCAGAAAUGAAAUUGGGCUUCUUUUUUUAACGGGAUAAGCAAUCCCCAACCCAUGGAGUUUUGCGAGAAAUAGCUAAACUUGUCUAGGUUUCAACUGGUUGGUCUUCUUCUUCUGUUUUUCUUGCUCUUCAGAGAGUUAUCAUCUUUAUUUUUUGAUGAAAGAAAAACCUUUAAUAAAAGUAUGGAACUUAAUUGUAAUAAAAGUAUAUUUCAUUCUUUAACUUCCUGCAUUCAAAGAUGUGAAUGCCAUUACCGAGCUCUCUUUUUUCUAAUCAUAUUGAUGUGAUUUUUUUAAUCAUUUAUUAAUAAAUUUGAGAAGCUAAUCAAUGCGACUAGAUUAAGUUGAAAGGUAUUUAUUGUUAUGAUUUUCUCUUGAAUGCAAAUUAUUUUUAUUUAUGUUAAUACGCCCGAAACAAGGCGAACCGUGAAGAAAUGAAAAAACUCCAGAAUCAAUCACGAGAAAAGAACCUAAAACUAUGCUAUUUGCUUAGAAGUCGGAACAUUUUUAGCAGCUUCUCCCGUAUAAACUGAUGCCUCAAAUCUGUAACAUCGUACACAAAAACAUGCUAACUGGAAAACUUUGAAGCAUCUGAAGAUGGAAACUCAAGACAUGUGAAGAUGUGCAUGUAAUUUAUGAGGUUUACAAGACAUAUUGCUAUCCUCAGUCCUCACGCCACAUCCUACCACACUUCUCAUUCAAGCAGAAGUAAAAUGUUGUUGCUGGCUCAUCAGCUGAUCUAAUUUGUAUCUGCUGGAAACAAGCUCUUCCGAAGUUGCAAUGAGGACAUGUUGCUGCAAUCAAGAAAGAAGGGAAAUUAGACAAAAAAAAUACAAAGAUUGAGAAAGAACACCAAGAAAAAAAAAAAUUCUGAGUUAGCCUUCAUCUAAAUUGCUAAAAUUGAAUUCUUUCUACACCAAUAACUGAAUUCCUCGUUUACCAUACUAAGUUAAAACUUUAGGAAUCAUUCGAAACUGUGGAAAUCGAACAUCAUGAUUUAGUCUUAUCUUGGCGAAAUAUGGACAGUAUUUCUCUCAUUGCAUUGUUAACAGGUACUGCUUAAUCUUAUAAACUCAACUCAACCCUUGCACAACCUAUAUUAAUUUUGGGAACUUGGUACCAAGCUAGUUACUUCAUUCUAAUUCAAUUCAAAAAACCCAAAACUAUUAUAAGAAAAUGCAGAAACAAAAGGAGGUAAGCAACUUAAACAAUAUCAAAGUUUUUAAAGUGGCAAAAUAUUAUAAAAAAUUCCUCCAUUCCACAACAACAGAUAAUACCAAUAACAUAAAAAGACAAAAGACAAAGAAAAGCACCAUCAGUUUCAGCACCGCCUGUCUUCAUGUCCUCGAGGGUGAAAAUAGGUUCAAUUUCUUUCUUAGCAAGCUUUUGCUUUCUCUUUAUCUUAACCUAAUCACAACAUAGCAGUUAGUCACAUCAUUCAAUCAAAAAUACAAACCUAGAAAAUAAAGAGGCCAAAUUAAUUUAUACUAAUUAAUAAUUUACCCUGCUCUCAAUCGAAGCAAAAUAGGGACAGGUAGGGCAAUAAAAUCUAGCUACUUGCCCCAUAUUUGGCGGCUCAUAUCGCAAUAGCAUCCCACAUGUUGGGCAAAAUUCCAUUUCUUUCUUCCUCGUUCUCUGAUACCCUAAUUUGACUUCUUUCUCCUAUUUUAGAAAAGUCAGAACCUUCAGGCCUGAAAACAAAACAAACAAAUAUCAACUUAGAAAAAUCUAAUUUCAAACACUUCUCAGUAACUAUGAAAAUUUCCAAAAGUAAAUGUAUUUAGGAUUAAGAUAAUAAACUAGCGUAUUACAGUAAAAUAGUAGCAUGGCAUGGCUUCUAGCAUACUUUUUCUAACUAAUUAGUUUUUUUAUAGUUAUCAACACAUGCUACUAAUUAAACCAUGAAUCCAACCCAAGGUCUAAAUCAACAAUCUUCAUUCAAACAUAGAAGAAAAAACAAUUGAACCAACAAGUUGAUUACACUUGAACAACCCACUAUCUCGUUCAAAAAAAUUCAAAACUUUCAAAACCCAGUAGUUACAAUUCAAGCUUAAAAACAAACAUCAACUUUAUAAAUACCUAAAUUUUAACCUUCCCUUUAAUGGGCCAACAACAAUCUCAUAAAUCUAGUAACUUUCUAAUAUAUAAAGGUGAAACAAGUACACUUCAAAGCUCAAAAACUGCCUAUAUCAAUGCUUGUAAUCAAUAAAAUAAGCACUUGAAAUCAAUGCUUGUGGAUAAAAAUGAACACCAUCUACAGCGGAACCGAAGUCUCUCAAGUAUAGUUCCGAGAACCAGUCCAUUCAUCAAAUCUCAAAUCAAUGUUUAUAAUCAAAGAAGGAACUAAUUCUGCCCUCAACUUUCACUCUUGUUCCAAAAUAGUAUUAAAAAAAACACGCAAUUGAGGUAACAAUGAAUAUCACUUCAAAAGAAAAAAAUCAACUCAGCCAAGGAGCAGCCGUGACAAGACAUUGACCAGAGCAAUGGACACAAAUUGAGGUUAGCCCUCAACUUCAUCAACGCAAAAACAGCAACAAGAUUGGAGCUUUACCAGUGAUCGCAGAUGAUGGCCUCGAGCAACAACUGCAAGGUGCUGGUGGGCCGAACAACAGCAAUGGAGAUGUGUUCUGGUGGGGUCUUUUUUAUGAUGGAGAGAGGGGUGGUCUGUAGGGGAGGAGGCAGCGCUGUUAGUUUUUGUGUUAGCUGGUGGUGGAGUCUUUUAUC
RNAcentral lists this long non-coding RNA (5348 nucleotides) under Populus tremula. RNAcentral describes it as "long non-coding RNA (PTRE_LNC001781)". The record is from RNAcentral. Lineage: Eukaryota; Viridiplantae; Streptophyta; Magnoliopsida; Malpighiales; Salicaceae.